RNAcentral lists this ribosomal RNA (253 nucleotides) under uncultured archaeon. RNAcentral describes it as "partial 16S ribosomal RNA". It matches the Rfam family "Archaeal small subunit ribosomal RNA", at positions 474 to 727 of the family's 1478-position model. The record is from RNAcentral.
UACCAGCUCUCCGAGUGGUGUGGAUGUUUAUUGGGCCUAAAGCAUCCGUAGCUGGCUAAGUUAGUCCCCUGUUAAAUCCACCGAAUUAAUCGUUGGAUUGCGGGGGAUACUGCUUGGCUAGGGGACGAGAGAGGCAGACGGUAUUUUCGGGGUAGGGGUGAAAUCCUAUAAUCCCGGGAAGACCACCAGUGGCGAAGGCUGUCUGCUAGAACGCGCCCGACGGUGAGGGAUGAAAGCUGGGGGAGCGAACCGG